GAUGAAGAACGUAGCAAAAUGCGAUAAGUAAUGUGAAUUGCAGAAUUCAGUGAAUCAUCGAAUCUUUGAACGCACAUUGCGCCCGCGGGUAUUCCGGCGGGCAUGCCUGUUCGAGCGUCAUUUCAACCCUCAAGCCCCCGGGUUUGGUGUUGGGGAUCGGCUCUGCCCUUCUGGGCGGUGCCGCCCCCGAAAUACAUUGGCGGUCUCGCUGCAGCCUCCAUUGCGUAGUAGCUAACACCUCGCAACUGGAACGCGGCGCGGCCAUGCCGUAAAACCCCAACUUCUGAAUGUUGACCUCGGAUCAGGUAGGAAUACCCGCUGAACUUAAGCAUAUCAAUAAGCGGAGGA
Molecule: unclassified non-coding RNA, 348 nt
Filed under: soil metagenome
Description: partial contains 5.8S ribosomal RNA, internal transcribed spacer 2, and large subunit ribosomal RNA
Rfam family: 5.8S ribosomal RNA (bases 1-120)
Source: RNAcentral